AUUGAACGCUAACGGCGUGCUUAACACAUGCAAGUCGAGCGGCAGCAUGACCUGUAGCAAUACAGAUUGAUGGCGAGCGGCGGACGGGUGAGUAACGCAUAGGAAUCUGCCUUGUAGUGGGGGAUAACCCGGGGAAACUCGGGCUAAUACCGCAUAAUCUCUACGGAGCAAAGUGGGGGAUCGUAAGACCUCACGCUAAAAGAUGAGCCUAUGUUGGAUUAGCUAGUUGGUGAGGUAAUGGCUCACCAAGGCGACGAUCCAUAGCUGGUCUGAGAGGAUGAUCAGCCACACUGGGACUGAGACACGGCCCAGACUCCUACGGGAGGCAGCAGUGGGGAAUAUUGGACAAUGGGCGAAAGCCUGAUCCAGCAACGCCGUGUGUGUGAAGAAGGCCUUCGGGUUGUAAAGCACUUUUAGUUGGGAAGAAAAGCUCAUGGGUAAUAUCCAUGAGUGCUGACGUUACCAACAGAAAAAGCACUGGCUAACUCUGUGCCAGCCGCCGCGGUAA
This 508-nucleotide ribosomal RNA is filed under the name uncultured bacterium. RNAcentral describes it as "partial 16S ribosomal RNA". It matches the Rfam family "Bacterial small subunit ribosomal RNA", at positions 30 to 523 of the family's 1533-position model. The record is from RNAcentral.